UGUUUCGGCUAGGGGGCCAUCCCGGCUUACCAACCCGAUGCAAACUACGAAUACCGAAGAAUGUUAUCACGGGAGACACACGGCGGGUGCUAACGUCCGUCGUGAAGAGGGAAACAACCCAGACCGCCAGCUAAGGUCCCAAAGUCAUGGUUAAGUGGGAAACGAUGUGGGAAGGCACAGACAGCCAGGAUGUUGGCUUAGAAGCAGCCAUCAUUUAAAGAAAGCGUAAUAGCUCACUGGUCGAGUCGGCCUGCGCGGAAGAUGUAACGGGGCUAAACCAUGCACCGAAGCUGCGGCAGCGACACUAUGUGUUGUUGGGUAGGGGAGCGUUCUGUAAGCCGUUGAAGGUGUGCUGUGAGGCAUGCUGGAGGUAUCAGAAGUGCGAAUGCUGACAUAAGUAACGAUAAAGCGGGUGAAAAGCCCGCUCGCCGGAAGACCAAGGGUUCCUGUCCAACGUUAAUCGGGGCAGGGUGAGUCGACCCCUAAGGCGAGGCCGAAAGGCGUAGUCGAUGGGAAACAGGUUAAUAUUCCUGUACUUGGUGUUACUGCGAAGGGGGGACGGAGAAGGCUAUGUCAGCCGGGCGACGGUUGUCCCGGUUUAAGCAUGUAGGCGGAGGUUCCAGGUAAAUCCGGUACCUUGUUAACGCUGAGGUGUGAUGACGAGGCACUACGGUGCUGAAGUGAUAAAUGCCCUGCUUCCAGGAAAAGCCUCUAAGCAUCAGGUAACACGAAAUCGUACCCCAAACCGACACAGGUGGUCAGGUAGAGAAUACCAAGGCGCUUGAGAGAACUCGGGUGAAGGAACUAGGCAAAAUGGUGCCGUAACUUCGGGAGAAGG
This 838-nucleotide ribosomal RNA is filed under the name Enterobacter hormaechei. RNAcentral describes it as "partial 23S ribosomal RNA". It matches the Rfam family "Bacterial large subunit ribosomal RNA", at positions 911 to 1746 of the family's 2925-position model. The record is from RNAcentral. Lineage: Bacteria; Pseudomonadati; Pseudomonadota; Gammaproteobacteria; Enterobacterales; Enterobacteriaceae. RNAcentral also lists the same sequence under 1 other name.